AAGUUUAAAACCUCCUUUAAACACAAAGGCUUGGUCCUGACCUUAAAAUCAAUUAUUAUUCAACUUACACAUGCAAGUCUCCGCGCCCCAGUGAAGAUAUCCCGCCCCUUUAUUAAGAGAAAGGAACCGGUAUCAGGCACAUUAGUUUGCCCAAGACACCUAGCAACGCCACACCCACAAGGGUCUUCAGCAGUGAUAAACAUUGAGUAUUAGUGCAAACUUGACUCAGUCAGAAUAAAGAGAGUAGGCAAAUCUGGUGCCAGCCGCCGCGGUUACACCAUACGACUCAAAUUGAUUUUCCUCGGCGUAAAACGUGAUUUAAGCCACUAACCCAUUAAAGUUGAACCUCCAUUAAGCCGUGAUAAGCUUAUGACAGGGGAAACCAAACACGAAAGUUACUUUAAUUAACCAACUUGAAUACACGAAAAUUUGGGCACAAACUAGGAUUAGAUACCCUACUAUGCCAAAUAGUAAAUCGACUUACACCUUAUCGCCAGGGAACUACGAGCUAAAGCUUAAAACCCAAAGGACUUGACGGUGCCCCAUAUCCUCCUAGAGGAGCCUGUCCCAUAAUCGAUACCCCUCGCUUAACCUUACCACUUUUAGCCAAUCAGCCUGUAUACUUCCGUCGUCAACUUACCGCGUGAGCGGACCCCAGUGGGUUCAAUGUCUAUACAUCAAUACGUCAGGUCAAAGUGCAGCAAAUAAAGUGGAGAGAGAUUGGCUACAUUUUCUAGCAUAGAAAAUACGAAAGAUUACGUGAAAUCUUUAUCAGAAGGCGGAUUUAGUAGUAAAAAGAAAAUAGAACAUUCUUUUUAAUCUGGCACUGGGGUAUGUACAUACCGCCCGUCACCCUCUUCGCAAGACAAAUUUUAGUAAAUAACACAUUCACUCUAAAUAGAAGAGGCAAGUCGUAACAAGGUAAGUGUACCGGAAGGUGUACUUGGAAACGUCACAU
This 958-nucleotide non-coding RNA is filed under the name Oreobates machiguenga. RNAcentral's name for it is "partial 12S ribosomal RNA". It matches the Rfam family "Bacterial small subunit ribosomal RNA". The record is from RNAcentral. Lineage: Eukaryota; Metazoa; Chordata; Amphibia; Anura; Strabomantidae.